RNAcentral lists this ribosomal RNA (435 nucleotides) under Triticum aestivum (bread wheat). RNAcentral describes it as "partial small subunit ribosomal RNA". Lineage: Eukaryota; Viridiplantae; Streptophyta; Magnoliopsida; Poales; Poaceae. The record is from RNAcentral.
AUGGCCAUGGGAGUCGAGCUCCGCGAGGGAUGCUGCCAUGGCCAUGGGCGUCGAGCUCCGCGAUGGGCGCUGCCAUGGCCAUCGGUAUCGAGCUCCGCGAGGGGUGCUGCCAUGGCCAUGGUCGUCGAGCUCCGCGAGGGGCUUCGCCAUGGCCAUGGGCGUCGAGCUCCGCGAGAGGUGCCGACAUGGCUGCCGAGGCACCACCACACUAGAUGCAGCUCCGCUGAUGGCCGGUUCCAGCUUUUGACGAUGCCUGUUGCAGCUUUUUGGCGAAAAAACUUGUCAUCGUCGCCGGCGGUUGUAUCUCGCCAUUGUAUCGUCGCCGUUGAAAAAAGAAUGAAUGUAGCAAAAAUUGUUGCUGGAUGUACCAAAAAUCUAUUACGAUUGCAGCAAAAAAAGUCAUCGCCGGCGUCGUCGGGUCACAGCUCAGCGUGA